Molecule: long non-coding RNA, 3181 nt
Filed under: Triticum aestivum (bread wheat)
Lineage: Eukaryota; Viridiplantae; Streptophyta; Magnoliopsida; Poales; Poaceae
Description: long non-coding RNA (TAES_LNC000499)
Source: RNAcentral
GCGACAUUUAGCCCAGCUCACAGGCCACAGCCCACAGCAACCCAUAUAGAGCCCAGUGCGUCAAAAAAAAACCAUAUAGAGCCUAGCGCAGACGGCAAUAAAGGCAAAGCAGAGAGUUCAAGUACGCAACCCCGUCCAUUCCCCUCCCCCGACCCCGAGCGGUCGAGCGCCGCCUCCGCCGGCUUCCGUCGUCGACCACCUCCUGGUGCUGCCGUCGUCAACCACCUCACCGUAGACCACGAAGCCGCAGUACUGGAGGGAAAGAGGAGAAGAGGAGGGAGCACAGCGCGUGCAGCUGCCUGCCGUCGAGUUGAGGGUCGACCGCCGCCAUCUCCACCUGUCCGCCGUCGACCACCUCCUCGCCGGCUCGCUGCUGUCGAUAAGAGAUGACCACGAAGCUGGAGGAGGGGGAGGAUGUGCCUGCACCUGCACGCCGUCUCCCCUGCACCUGUUCGAUCUCCUCUGUCCUCUCCUCUGCAUUAUCCCAUCUCUGACCGAGGUAUUCAGUGCCAAAAUUUUCAACAAUUAGUACUGAAUUGUUAGCAGUUCGUACUGAUCUAUUAAGUGUUGAAUACACCAUUGUUAGCAGUUAGUACUGAAUUCCAAAAUUUUCUUACAUCAUCUUUCAUCCAUUCUUCAGCUUGUCAUGGUAAAUCUAUAGCAUAACUUGCUUAUUUAUUGUCGAUUCCAUCCUCUUUUGAAACAAGCAUUCUAAAUGUUCAAAAUUAGUCUCAUAUAUGCUGUAUUCUUGGUCCAUUUGCUUUACAAAAUAUAAAAGGAUGACUAAACAGUGGCUAAACAGAGCCAAAAAUCCUCCCAGCGCACUCCCAGGAUACAAAUUCAGUCAGUCCAGUCGGUCCUCUCGAUCUUGACCGAGCUUUGCUGCAGCCGGUCCGGUCCUGAAAAUAUGAACCGCCAGCCACUUCGGUCCGGUCCGGACCGGACCGGCCGCGGCCAGUCCAAAGCAGGGCUCGGUCAGGGACCGGACCGGCCCGGACCGCGUCCACCCCUAUCAAUGGCAACUGUAAAACUCUUCCAAGGAAAACAUUGUCGCCUUGCAGAAAUUUCCCAUACUAUUGAAUGUGAUAAUCAGCAAUGCCAGUAUGAAUUAUAGGUCAGCAAUAAAAGUUGCCAUCCUGAAAAUGUUUCUUGCAUUAAUGAUCUCCUGUUCUGCGUAACGCCAAGGGCUGUUUUUCCACUUUGUCCGCUACAUUGAUGUUAUCUCUAUUUGGAUGUGUCGGUGUGGGUGUAUACGUCAUGGGCAUGUGACUCGUGCCGUUUGUGUUGUCGUUUAGCCAUAAUUAGAAGAGCCAAAAUUUAGUUAUAUUUUCUGCUAUGGAAAUGUUGAUAUUCAUGUCCUUUGGCCAGGGAAAUUUUAUCAUUUUGUAAAUAUCGUCUCUAGCACUACUAACUGGUAUCGCACAGAAGGCGAAUGCUUUUUUUUUUUUGGUUUAUCAAACAAUUUAUUGUGUUAAUAACAAUGACGAAUGACUCCUUGAGAAUAUUAUUAUGACACCGCAAUAGGGCUUAUGUGAAUCAACGAUCGGUAGCGUUUGUUAAGUUUGAAAAAAAAUUCUGGUUUCUUGAUCUUGUUCUUUUUGGCAUGUAUCAGUGUUGCUGCUAAGAAAGUUAACCUUUCAUGUGUGCACUUCUGCCAAUUCUACGAGGCAAAGUGCAAAGAAGGGUCAGUUCUUGGUACCUUAUUAUAUGUUGCACAGUAAUUAUUCUCUACUCUCUGUGCUUAUCAAAUCCCCUGUGUGAACCCUGCCAGCUUAUUUUGUCUUUAGUAACACUAUUAUUGGCUCAUAUUAAUCUGAUAUUCAUAAGAUCUAACCCGCUAGUUCACAUCAUGUCCCAUCAGGUGAUUGAUAUAACUCACUUCUUUUCUUUAUCUGAGUAUAUUCUCCUUGAUGAUUCUCUUGUAACUUUAUAGCUCUAGAGUUCUUUUUAUACCACAACUAAAGUUUUGAGACGGCUAGAGUUCUUUCUCAAACAAAGGGUUACGACUACUGAAGCAUUACAAUCUAGUUUGCUUAACCACUUCAGAAUUUGACAGUGUGGUGUGUUUGCAUUAUUUCAGGUGCCGCAUGGCAUUGAAUCUUCUUAGGAAUGAGUUCUAUGAUGUGCGUGACAAGCUAGAGACCAUUAUGCAGGUAGCAUCUUAUAUGCCUAUGUCGGCUUUUGACUUCCAACUUCUUACAAGAAUAGUAGUAUCUAGAUUGGUCGUAUAUUGUUUAAGAUAAAAAAACAAUAAAAAGCAUGAUCUUAUUCUUGUUACUAUUGAAAUUUGUAUAGCAAUAAUUGUUUGGUUUCUGCAGCAAUUAGUUCGAGGUCUUUGAAACUCCAUUUGGUCGUUGAAUGUUUCUCUCUUAAUAUUGUCACCAUGUUUCAUUUUAUGUAUAGGGUAGCUCCAAAAAAAGCAAUUGUAUUUCCUUGUUUCCCUGCUUAACCUAACUUUUGGCAAGUACCGGAAAAAGAUGCCAAAGUAACUUAUGCUCGACUAUACUUCUUUGACCUUUCAUAACCACAAAUCUACUCUUCUUUUGAUGUAGUUGGAGCAGCAGAUUGUAGCCUUGGGUCCUAAGUAGCAGUAAUCGAAGCCAAAAAAGCAUAGCCCCAUGUGACCUGGCACGAUGGGGUGUAUGUAUCUCUGAAGAUGUAGGCAACAUUCAGUGGUAGCUGGGCUUUGGAGGGGCCUCAUCGAAUAAUAUGAUAAUUCUUGUUUCGGCACUCCGCGAUCGCGACCACCCUGCAGAUGGAACUUGUGGUCUUGUUUGUCGAUGUCUUUGUCUGUCAAAUAUAUAUACUUGUGCCUCGUGGAUGGCCCGCGGACUGGGCAUAAACUCUAUACUUGGUUGUUUGCUUUUUGGCUUGGUUUUGUUGUAUGUUGCUUGCUCUUGUUAAUCAUCUUCUUAUGAAAUGUUGUUUCCUCCCAUUUGGGUGAGGGGAUAGAUUUGCUAGUUCUCUGGAACUGAGCUAAAAUCUUGUUGUUGGCUGGUAUGUCGAGAGGUAUUGCUUGCUGGCCUCCGCCAACACCAUCAGAAUCUCACAGCAUCACCACAACAGCAAACUGACCAUUCCGCCCCUGGAGAGAACAGGAUAUAUGCUGCAAAGGUGCACCGGAAGGUUCUGCGGGACAACAUCUAGGUGGUCAUGAAGCUUGCGGUCCGGCAGUGAGGCA